This 756-nucleotide ribosomal RNA is filed under the name uncultured Glomeromycotina. RNAcentral describes it as "SSU rRNA". It matches the Rfam family "Eukaryotic small subunit ribosomal RNA", at positions 338 to 1092 of the family's 1831-position model. Lineage: Eukaryota; Fungi; Glomeromycota. The record is from RNAcentral.
GGCCUACCAUGGUGGUAACGGGUAACUGGGAAUUAGGGUUCGAUUCCGGAGAGGGAGCCUGAGAAACGGCUACCACAUCCAAGGAAGGCAGCAGGCGCGCAAAUUACCCAAUCCCGACACGGGGAGGUAGUGACAAUAAAUAACAAUACGGGGCUCUUUCGGGUCUCGUAAUUGGAAUCAGUACAAUUUAAAUCCCUUAACGAGGAACAAUUGGAGGGCAAGUCUGGUGCCAGCAGCCGCGGUAAUUCCAGCUCCAAUAGCGUAUAUUAAAGUUGUUGCAGUUAAAAAGCUCGUAGUUGAAUUUCGGGAUUGACACAUCGGUCGUGCCUUAAGGGGUAUGAACUGGUGUAGUCAAUUUCUCACCUUCUGGAGAACCGCGAUGCCCUUAAUUGGGUGUGGCGGGGAACCAGGACCUUUACUUUGAAAAAAUUAGAGUGUUUAAAGCAGGCAUUUUGGGGGAGUACAUUAGCAUGGAAUAAUAAAAUAGGACGGCAUGAUUCUAUUUUGUUGGUUUCUAGGAUCACCGUAAUGAUUAAUAGGGAUAGUUGGGGGCAUUAGUAUUCAAUUGUCAGAGGUGAAAUUCUUGGAUUUAUUGAAGACUAACUACUGCGAAAGCAUUUGCCAAGGAUGUUUUCAUUAAUCAAGAACGAAGUUAGGGGAUCGAAGACGAUCAGAUACCGUCGUAGUCUUAACCAUAAACUAUGCCGACUAGGAAUCAGACGAUGUAAUUUUUUAUGACUCGUUUGGCACCUUACG